UACGUAGGGGGCAAGCGUUGUCCGGAAUCAUUGGGCGUAAAGAGCGUGUAGGCGGUUCGGUAAGUCGGCUGUGAAAGUCCAGGGCUCAACCCUGGGAUGCCGGUCGAUACUGCCGGACUAGAGUUCGGAAGAGGCGAGUGGAAUUCCCGGUGUAGCGGUGAAAUGCGCAGAUAUCGGGAGGAACACCUAUGGCGAAGGCAGCUCGCUGGGACGUUACUGACGCUGAGACGCGAAAGCGUGGGGGAGCAAACAGG
Molecule: ribosomal RNA, 254 nt
Filed under: uncultured bacterium
Lineage: Bacteria
Description: partial 16S ribosomal RNA
Rfam family: Bacterial small subunit ribosomal RNA
Source: RNAcentral